This is a long non-coding RNA of Lutzomyia longipalpis, 540 nucleotides long. RefSeq lists it as uncharacterized. The record is from RefSeq and is a predicted model, not a curated record. Lineage: Eukaryota; Metazoa; Arthropoda; Insecta; Diptera; Psychodidae. The transcript has 2 exons.
AUGUAAAUGAUUAACACGUGAUCAAAUACGAUCACUAUUGCUGGCAACGAGUGUAAAGAAGUGGGAAAAGUCGAACCAAGAGCACGAAAAUUAUACUGACAAUCUGAUAGGGGGAGAGAGAUAGGCUAACGCGAGUGAGGAAGAUCACCUACAAUUGGCACACAUACACCGCAGCACAAACUUUUUAUCUACGAUCGCACGAUGUGUAACUUUGGUUGUGUGCUGAAGAGUAUACCGCGAUCGAGUUGCUCUAUACCCGAUUCACGAUCGCGAUCCUCAUGACUGAGCGCAAUGGCGAAGUACAAGCACUUAUCAAAACUCCCUGUGUGCACUCAGUAAUGAAUAAAUUGACUUGGAUGGUCGAUUUGGUGUAUCAAUUUGCUACAUAAACCUUCUACACAGAAGCUAGGAGUCGCCACUACGUAGACGAUUGGACAGAGUUGGAAGAUCGCAAAACCACAAGCCACAGACUACUGAAUGCGUUUUAAUUCCAGUUAUAUCGUUCGAUAUAUUUAUAUAAUUUUUCUAUGUUUACUUUUU